This 307-nucleotide ribosomal RNA is filed under the name uncultured bacterium. RNAcentral's name for it is "partial 16S ribosomal RNA". It matches the Rfam family "Bacterial small subunit ribosomal RNA", at positions 775 to 1067 of the family's 1533-position model. The record is from RNAcentral.
GGAUUAGAUACCCUGGUAGUCCUAGCUGUAAACGAUGGAUACUAGACGUAGGAACUGGAUUGACGGUUUCUGUGUCGCAGCUAACGCGUUAAGUACUCCGCCUGGGGACUACGGCCGCAAGGCUGAAACUCAAAGGAAUUGACGGGGACCCGCACAAGCGGUGGAACAUGUGGUUUAAUUCGAUGCAACGCGAAGAACCUUACCUGGACUUGACAUGUUAGUGAAAUCUCUACGAAAGUAGAGCCUUCUGCGAGCUUGCUCAAAGACACUAUCACAGGUGAUGCAUGGCUGUCGUCAGCUCGUGCCG